ACUCAAACGACUUUAUUUCCUUUUUUGAUAGGGCUACCAGAUGUCUAUCGUAAAUCUGGAUGUUAUUAAAAUCUCUCAGGAUAUCCCUUUGGAUAAGAUGAAAACACAGAAGACAGUUUAUCAAAAUUAAAAAUAACACAACAUUGGGAUGGACAACUAGUGUAUUGCGGUAUAGAAUCAAUAUUUUUUUUAAAGCUCUUUUUAGGUUAAAAUUGUUGGUUAAAAAUAUUUAAUAACAGGCUGGGCACGGUGGCUCACACCUGUAAUCCCAGCACUUUGGGAGGCCGAGGUGGGUGGAUCACUUGAGGUCAGGAGUUUGAGACCAGCCUGGCCAACAUGGCGAAACCCUGUCUUUACUGAAAAACACAAAAAUUAGGUGUGGUGGCGCAUGCCUGUAAUUCCAGCUACUCGGGAGGCUGAGCAGGAGAAUCGCUUGAACCCAGGAGGCGGAGGUUGCAGUGAGCUAAGAUUGCACCAGUGCACUCCAGCUUGUGUGACAGAGUGAUACUCCAUCUCAGAAAAAAAAAAAUUAACAGCAAUAAAUGUAAAAUUCAGUAUUUAGGAAUCUAAAAUCUACUUACACAAGCUGGAGAAGACUUGGCAUAAUAGCUACUUCUGUGAAGAAGUCUGGGCAGAUUGUGCUGAUCACAUCAAACUGAAUCAACAGUGUGAUGUAUCUGCCAAAAGGAGCUAGUUGCUAUAGUGUCCAACAUCGCAGUAAAUGGUUGCAGGAAAAGGUCCCAGUGUGCUAACAGACCAUGUCCAGUGCUGGGACCACACUCAAGAACUAGGAAAGCUUCCUUCAAAAGCCAUCUGACUGGAGAAGAUAGUUCUGAGUCACAUUUGCUGAUUUAGCAAUGCCCGUGCCCCUCACCCAGGGGCUGCCAGCAAAAGAAAAACCCCUGAAAGAGGGACUACCAUGCAGGACACCUGAGCAUUAGCCUUAGUUCUAACGGUGAGCCGCCACUGGAGGACAAGAAGGGCACGGACAGCUGCCACAUGUUGCCUCCUUGAGUAAUGAGUACCCCAUCAAUGGAAGUUCAAGUAGAGGCAGUCUGCUGAGGACGCUAUAAAGGGGAUAUGUAAAGUGGGAGGCGGGACUAUACUGUAUAAACUCUUAAGAUCUCUGGCAUCACUAAGUACUAGGAAAUUUGUUCUAAACUUCCAAUACCAGCCCCAGCAUGGGAAGCAUCCUGUGUUUGCACCGUCGACACACUGACUGCUGAGUUACAUGGCUACAUGUCCUGCCUGGAGCCAGUACGUAAGGGCAACAGCAGGACACUUUCAGAAAAGUCUCAUCUGAACAAAACUGAAGUGUACAUGAUGACAGCACACACUUACAAGAGUGAAGGCAGAGGUUGCAGUGAGCCGUAAUCAUGCCACUGCACUGCAGCCUGGUGACAGAGUGAAGGGUCCCAAAUUAUACUCACUCCCUUUCAUAAAUAUCCUCAGUUCAACUCCCCUCUCCCUCCACAGUACAGACUGGACACAUCUCUCAACCUGGCUGUACCCAACUAUUCACCUUCUCUGUGUCUGCACUAAGGUCACUCAACAUGAUUGGCAGAGGCACACAAUGGAUGCCUGUUUACCCCCAAAAUUCAUGAGGACACAUCUCUAAAAGGGCACUCAACAGUCUUACCCUAUUCCCCCUUCAGGUUAACUGGGCCACCAGAAAAGAAGUCAC
Molecule: long non-coding RNA, 1684 nt
Organism: Macaca fascicularis (crab-eating macaque)
Lineage: Eukaryota; Metazoa; Chordata; Mammalia; Primates; Cercopithecidae
Source: Ensembl